UAAACCUAAACUCUACCUAUAAAUUAAUGCUUAAAAAAAUCAAAAGGAGGGAAGAAAGAACGCAGAUACUCUGCAAAAGCUGAGCACCGCAGACCAAAAAAGGACCUCACUCCCCCGUCGUCUUCUCAAAACGACCCUAGCUCAAAAAUGACCCCUCCCGUUCUGCUUCCUUUUUAGAUUCUAAACACAUAAGACCCAUCAGCCAUCGAUCCCGAAUGACCAGAGACCCUCCAGUCGUCGUCUCAUACACAAAACCAGCGAGAACGGAUCCUCCAAUCUCUCUCGAUCUCUGAGAACGACGAGCAGUAGCGGACCCCUCCCAUCGCCAAAAAUUUGAAAACAGCCUGACCUUCACCCACCUCCCCUCACUACCCGACCAUACACAACACACACCUUUCCUCCAGUAGUAGCGUCACACCAAUGAGAGUAGCGACCCUCACCAGAUCAACGACGAACUCACCGGGAAAGGCUGUCUCCCACUAUUGUUAACCUUCAACUUCCCCAUGCUCCAUUGAUAACAUAUUUUUACACAUGAAAUAGUGUGAAAACUAGCCUGAAGCCAUCACUCACGACUCAUCUGUCUCUAUCCGAUGCUGCUACUGGCCUCAUUCUCUUUUAUUUUUCGCUCGCAAAUGUGGCCAGUUUGGGUGUAGCUAAGUCUGGUCGGAAAUCUAACGUCCUGGCGACCCCUUUGUGUGUUUUUUGGUGUCAUUCCGGACUCCUGUGGUUGAAGCUGUCGCCAGUGACGCUCGUUGUAGAUGUUUCUGAGUUUUGGUUUGUUUACAAAUGAAGUCUAGACCCGAAAAUCUACCCGGAUCCAUUCAGUCUCUGACAACCUCCGUGUUUUAGCUUUUUGCUAUUGUUUGCUCUUUCUUUUACACAUUAUUAGAUCCGAAAGAUUAGGAAAUAUCCAUCACCUUUUGAGUUUAGCCGGAAGUAUAGAUUUUCCAUUUCCCGUUCAGUUGGCAGUAACAUUGUCCUUGUAGCAAUUCUGACCUUAGCUGCCCGAGAAUUGUGGUACAAUAGAGCGAGGCAGUCCGGUCAGAGAUUCGAUGAGGUUUCCAGUGAGAUUUUCCGGUUCAGAUCUUGUUUGCGGUCCUGUUCGUUCCGUGGCUUAGCAUUUUCAAACUGUGAAACAAUCAAUUUUCAGUAUUGAGGUUCAUUUCCUCUCUUAUUAUCUAUUUAAAUUUAUUUGCAUAUUCUUGCUAAUAGCUUUCGAUGAUCAUGAAUGCAAUAUGAUUAUUUUGUUUAUCUCAUUAUUGAUCUAGAAUAUGUUUAAAAGGGUUUAUCAGCUCGUAAUUUUGUCCGUAAAUAGUCAUCUAAAUCACAGUUCAUGGAAUCAAUGGUAAUAAAUAUGGUUCGAGUUUAAUUAGUUAGUUUGAUUUUAUACUAAGCAAAGUCGCUUUAUGAUAAAGUUUGUCAUGGAUUAUCCGAGCAGCCUUAAGGAUUGGUUAUCUCUUUCUAGGAUGUUAGUUACAAUGAAGUUAUAUGCUGGUUUGGAAGUAUUUCUAACGUCACGACUAAGGGUACGGUUCCCGUGACGUAGUUGUGACCCUAAAUUUUGAAUUAGUUUUAAACAAUGAAUAUCCGUAGUUCACUUUGUUGAAUGUCUUCUCCUUUAAUAAAAUCGAGGUGUGCCAUUUAGUUGAAUUUUCCGUAGCUCUCGCAAAGUUAAAACGCGUAGUUGCUUUAGGCGCGUUAUUUUAAUAAUUUACCUCCCUAAACUCGGGUGCGCAUUUAUGUGACCCAAAUCCAAAUCUCAACGUUAGAUAAAAUGUGUUGCGGACUGCGGAUGCAUUUAUGUGACGUGGUUUGAAACAUAUUUUAAAUGAUGUUAUAAUCUUCCUUUAAUUAAUUAAAUAAAAGCGGUUAUAAAGUUAAAAUUGAACCAUAAGCUAAAACAUGUAUUAAAAUCGAAUAAUAGACCAAUUAUAACAGUUGAGCAACCGUGCUAGAAUCAUGGAACUCGGGAAUGGCUAACACCUUCUCCCGGGUUAACAGAAUUCCUUACCCGGAUUUCUGUGUUCGCGGACUGCAAAAACAGAGUCAAUUUUUCCUCGAUUCGGAUUCAAAACCGGUGACUUGGGACACCAUAAAUCUCCCAAGUGGCGACUCUGAUUUUAAAUAAAAUAAUCCCGUUUCGAUUGUCAUUUUAAGCUGGAAAAACUCCUUAUACCCUUCCGGGGUGUAGGAAAAAGGAGGUGUGACAUCUCCUAUUACUGAACCUACCAGUUUCUCCCAAGCUUGUUCUCAUUUAGGUUGGAAGCAAGCUAUGGUCAAAGAACUAGCUGCCAUAAAAGCUAAUCAUACAUGAGAGGUUGUGCCUCUUCCACCUGGGAAGAAAGCUUUGACCUGUAAAUGGGUUUACAAGGUCAAACAACAUGCUGAUGGUAGUAUUGAAAGGCUAAAGUCUCGACUAGUUAUCAGAGGAGACAUUCAAAGAGAGGGCAUGGACUACACUGUAACUUUCUCUCUAGUGGUUAAAAUGACCACCAUCAGAUGCCUAUUGUCUAUUGCAGUCAAAAAAGGGUGGGAUGUUUCACAAUUUGAUGUGAACAAUGCAUUUCUAUAUGGCGACCUACAAGAGGAAGUAUACAUGAAAUUACCUGUAUGUCAGACCCCUCCUACUCCCCACCAUGUUUGCAAGUUACAAAAAUCACUUUAUGGGCUCAAACAAGCCUCAAGGCAGUGGUAUGCCAGGCUUGCAGGUGCUCUCAGUUUCAAAGGAUUCUCUUCUUCUCUUAAUGAUUAUUCUCUAUUUUUUAAAAAGACAGGAGAUUUUAUUUCUAUUGUUGCAGUUUACGUUGAUGAUAUCUUAAUUACUGGAAAUCAUCCUACUGAAUUGACAGACCUCAAAGCAUUUCUUCAUUCAGAAUUCAAAAUUAAGGAUCUUGGAUUGAUACAUUACUUUCUGGACAUGGAAAUCUUACGAGAACAAGUUGGUUUUAUUAUUACUC
This 2957-nucleotide long non-coding RNA is filed under the name Nicotiana tabacum (common tobacco). Its description in RNAcentral is "long non-coding RNA (NTAB_LNC005424)". Lineage: Eukaryota; Viridiplantae; Streptophyta; Magnoliopsida; Solanales; Solanaceae. The record is from RNAcentral.